GCUUAUUCCGAGGGGCGCCGGGCAACUGGCUGAGAUCGCGCUAAAGGCUUAUUGCUUCAUAGCAGCCGUGCGAGCACCCUUUGAACCUGAUCCGGGUCAUGCCGGCGAAGGGACGGACACGACUGUACCU
RNAcentral lists this non-coding RNA (130 nucleotides) under Candidatus Filomicrobium marinum. Its description in RNAcentral is "TPP riboswitch aptamer (THI element)". It matches the Rfam family "TPP riboswitch aptamer (THI element)". From Rfam's summary of the family: Vitamin B(1) in its active form thiamin pyrophosphate (TPP) is an essential coenzyme that is synthesised by coupling of pyrimidine and thiazole moieties in bacteria. The previously detected thiamin-regulatory element, thi box was extended, resulting in a new, highly conserved RNA secondary structure, the THI element, which is widely distributed in eubacteria and also occurs in some archaea. Analysis of operon structures identified a large number of new candidate thiamin-regulated genes, mostly transporters, in various prokaryotic organisms. The record is from Rfam by way of RNAcentral. Lineage: Bacteria; Pseudomonadati; Pseudomonadota; Alphaproteobacteria; Hyphomicrobiales; Hyphomicrobiaceae. RNAcentral also lists the same sequence under 1 other name.